CCCUUAGAUGUCCUGGGCCGCACGCGCGCUACACUGAGUGUCUGAGAUACGAGUCUGCCUGGUCCGGCAAGGUCUAGGUAAUCGCUAAAAGACACAUCAUGCUUGGGAUAGAUUAUUGCAAAUAUUAAUCUUGAACGAGGAAUUCCUAGUAAGCGCAAGUCAACAGCUUGCGUUGAUUACGUCCCUGCCCUUUGUACACAUCGCCCGUCGCUACUACUGAUUGGAUGUUUAAGCGAGGUUCUCGAACUGCUAGCGACUUAGCUUCGGUGAGGUCGCAGUGUGGGAAGUGAACCUAGCUUUGGUGUCUAGAGGAAGUAAAAGUCGUAACA
RNAcentral lists this ribosomal RNA (329 nucleotides) under uncultured eukaryote. RNAcentral describes it as "partial 18S ribosomal RNA". It matches the Rfam family "Eukaryotic small subunit ribosomal RNA", at positions 1470 to 1796 of the family's 1831-position model. The record is from RNAcentral.